CAAUUUUACGAAUUGUUUGUAAACAUAAUAGGAUACGUGGUUUGGAGGCUAUAUUUUGUUAUUAAAUAUCGUUAGUGUUUUAAUUUGUUGUUAUAUCUUGAGAUAUAAUGUAUCUAUAGAUAUCAUUAAGUGUUUUUAGUAUAAUAACUUAAACCCAAAACUCUUUUACAAGUGUUAAGAUACAUUUUAAGGACAACAUAAAGUUUAGGGCAACGGCCAGGCAACAGCAUGAAUUUUGUGAACAGUGUUGCCAUAUCUGUUUAUAAUUUAGACAUGAAUUUAGACCUUGUUUAAAAUGCUUUUUUUUAGAUGUUUAUUUCAUAGGUUAGUUUAUUCAUUUAAGUUAGUUUCUUCUUAUUACUAUUUAGUAUUUUAGAUAUUUUAUUAGUUAGAAUUUACAGUCUACAGUUUAAGUUAGUUUCUUUUAAUUACUAUUUAGUAUUUUAGAUAUUUUAUUAGUUACAGUUUAGAAAUCUUCACAUUGUUUAAUGUUUCUAUUAACUAUUGCCACUAUUGAUUUUUAUAUAAUUUUAAUGUUUUUAUUAUAAUAUAUUUUCUGAUUUAUAUCUAAUAUUUGUUUUCGAUUUUUAAAUUAUAUAUUAGGUCUGUUCCUUUGUUUUUUAGUGUUACACUUUUGAGUGUAAGUGUACGAAAUUCUAUGGACAUUUGAGUGUAAAAUGACAGCGGAUGUGACAGCGGCUCAUGACAGCGGACAGUAUUAAACGAAAAUUAUCGGUGUGCCAAUCAAGCAAAGGGACAAGGAACUUCCGAAUAUGGCCUAACUGGGGGCACAUAACAUAACCUAAUCCUAAUAUUUACAUUUGUAAAGAAUAUCCUGUUUCUUUUUAUUGUCGAUUGUGCAGCGAAAUUGUGUGCAGCAAAUCAAAUAUAAAGUAGUUUAUCGCCUACAGAACUGAAUUAGUCCAUAGCAGUUAUCAGUUUUUCUUUCUUGGGAAGCUUAUACAUGUAACUUGUAUUGUUGUAAAUUGUGGGAGUAGGGCAGACAGGGAAAAGUCUUAUUUUGUACUGUUCCCAAGGCUCCCCAUGCAAUACAUUUAAAUGAAUUAUCCAAACAAGGCCGGGGACAAUGGAUAAAAGCCACAAGAAGAACAGAUAUAAGGGAACUAAAAUUAAAAUAUGAAAAGUAAACAUUUUAUAAGUGGAACAACCACCAGAUAUUUAAAAGGUAUAAAAAGAAGAAACUGCUGGAAUUUCAAAACAAAUGUGUUUGACUAGUAAAGAUUUGGAUAAAUAACAGGAGUUACUUUGGGCUAUAGCUACGUGCAGAUUUAUUUCCUUGUGGCUUCCUAUGUUAAUUCUUAUUAAUUAUACACUUAAAUAUGUUUUUAGUCUCAGGAAGAUUUUAUAUUUGAUUAUUUUUGAAUAAACAUUAUUAUUAUUAUUACCUUAAUUUCCAUUAAAUAAAUUAACUGUAAUCAAUAAAGUAAUCGUUUAAUUGUUAAUAAAUUAUCAAGUAUGA
This is a long non-coding RNA of Diabrotica virgifera virgifera (western corn rootworm), 1480 nucleotides long. RefSeq lists it as uncharacterized. The record is from RefSeq and is a predicted model, not a curated record. Lineage: Eukaryota; Metazoa; Arthropoda; Insecta; Coleoptera; Chrysomelidae. The transcript has 2 exons.